This 856-nucleotide long non-coding RNA is filed under the name Linum usitatissimum (flax). RNAcentral describes it as "long non-coding RNA (LUSI_LNC008123)". The record is from RNAcentral. Lineage: Eukaryota; Viridiplantae; Streptophyta; Magnoliopsida; Malpighiales; Linaceae.
UCGCCUUUAAUUGCCGAAAAACUCGAUUCCAGAGAUCCGGUUGAGUCUCCAUCACCUCUAGUUUCUGAAGAUAACGAGUCUAGAGUUUCCGAGUCAUCUGCUACAACUGAGAAAGCAAAGCUGGCUGAGUCGCCUUUAAUUGCCGAAGAACUUGAUUCCAGAGAUCCAGUUGAGCCUCUGUCACCUCUAGUUUCUGAAGAAAAUGAGUCGAGAGUUUCCGAGUCAUUGGCUACAACUGAAAAUGCAGAGCUGGCUGAAUCGCCUUUAAUUACUGAAGAACUUGAUUCCAGAGAUCCUGUUGAGUCUCUGUCACCUCUAAUUUCUGAAGAAAAUGAGUCUGGAGUUUCUGAGUCAUCUGCUACAACUGGAAAAGCAGAGCUGGCUGAGUCGCCUUUAAUUGCCGAAAAACUCGAUUCCAGAGAUCCGGUUGAGUCUCCAUCACCUCUAGUUUCUGAAGAUAACCUCUAGUUUCUGAAGAUAACGAGUCUAGAGUUUCCGAGUCAUCUGCUACAACUGAGAAAGCAAAGCUGGCUGAGUCGCCUUUAAUUGCCGAAGAACUUGAUUCCAGAGAUCCUGAGUCCCCUGUUGCAACUGGAAAAUCAGAUAUUGCUGCAGGAACUAAGUUGUCUAUUAUCUGUAGAGAAAAACAAUUGAGAGCAUCUGAGGUACCUGUUACAACUGAGAAAUCCGAAAUUGUGGUUGAACCUCUGUUGCCUCAAAGCUCGAAAGUAAACAAGUCGAGAGUUUCAGGUUCACCUCUUAUAGUUGAAAAGGACAACUUGGUGGUUGAAACUCAGUUGCCUCUUAUCUACAAAGAAAAUGAUACGGGAGUUUCUUUAUCACCUGUUACUACUGA